GUGAACGCUGGCGGCAGGCCUAACACAUGCAAGUCGAGCGGCAGCGCGGGGGCAACCCUGGCGGCGAGCGGCGGACGGGUGAGGAAUUCGUCGGAAUCUGCCUUUUUGUGGGGGAUAACGUAGGGAAACUUACGCUAAUACCGCAUACGUCCUACGGGAGAAAGUGGGGGACCGCAAGGCCUCACGCAGAAAGAUGAGCCGACGACCGAUUAGCUAGUUGGGGGGGUAAAGGCCCACCAAGGCGACGAUCGGUAGCUGGUCUGAGAGGAUGAUCAGCCACACUGGGACUGAGACACGGCCCAGACUCCUACGGGAGGCAACAGUGGGGAAUAUUGGACAAUGGGCGCAAGCCUGAUCCAGCCAUGCCGCGUGUGUGAAGAAGGCCUUCGGGUUGUAAAGCACUUUUGUCCGGAAAGAAAUCCCUGGAGCUAAUACCUUCGGGGGAUGACGGUACCGGAAGAAUAAGCACCGGCUAACUUCGUG
RNAcentral lists this ribosomal RNA (483 nucleotides) under uncultured bacterium. Its description in RNAcentral is "partial 16S ribosomal RNA". It matches the Rfam family "Bacterial small subunit ribosomal RNA", at positions 29 to 507 of the family's 1533-position model. The record is from RNAcentral.